UGUUCCUGACCUGGGAAGGGCUGGACAGAGGAGACAGCUCUGUUCCCACCAGGGCUGUCACCAUGGGAACUUUAGGGACCGAGGCCAUUUACGGCUAGUUGUAAACCCUGACUCUGACAGCAAAGCCUUUCUUCGCCUUUUCCUCUGGACUUGGCCCUGACUGUCUCAGAGAAAGCAGGCUCGAAUUCUACCUCCGGCUGGCUCUGCACACACAUCCCCUGGCACUGAGCGCUGGCCCGCUGCGUGGGAGCUGCUCGAGCUCAGCUAAGUGUCCUGGCUGUCUCUCCCAGAGAAAGUGGAGCAGAUGCCUGAGGUUGCUGAGCAUCACAGGUCUGACAGCUCUGCAGACACCUGCAGAUAUGCAGAGGGAGAGAAAUGGUGGGUUGGCAGUGCCAUUGCCCCUUGGAGGAGCUCUCAGAUCAAUUUGUGAGGCAAAGGAUCUCUGCGGAAGUGUGGAUCCCCUCGGCAGACUCCCAGCUUUGAGGCUGGAAAGGCUCAUCUUUCAGUUUGGCCAAAACUGAAAGUGCUGUGGUGAAAAGAUGGAGAAACAGCUGGCAGGAGCCAGCCUGUGGAGAAGAAGUUGAGGGCAGAAGGACUUCAGCAGCCAAAUCUCAUCUGGUCCUUCUUCUGGUGCCAAAUGCUCCUGUGAAAGCCACUUGGGUUGUGCAGUUCCUGAGGACUACCCCAGUUUGGAUGCCUGCCCAGCCUUCCUCUAGAGAGAGAGAGAAGUUCAAACAGACCUGGUAUCGAUGCUGCUCUGUCUCAUGGGAGCUACAGUCCAGGUAGCUCAUGACCGUCUUGUCUUUUGCAGGCUCAACACCCUAGCUGGACCACUGAUCCCACUGUGUGCCACAAUGCCCUGCUAACAAAAUGUGGUGGCAUGACCAUGGUCAUGGGAGUCUCCAUGGCAGGGGAGCGUCUGGCAGGGCAGGACUUGGGGACCAGGAGGCAGCCCUUGUUCUUCACGGUGAAGGCCUGGGGGAGAGAGGGCAUUUUGCCAGACUGCCUGGCUUUCAGGAGUUCAGGUUUGUGUUAAAAAGUAAAAGCUCAUUGCAGAAUGCAGAACCUGCUGUUACAGCAGAAUAAAAAAUUCAAUACUCAAUACUUUGUUAUAAUUUGGACUCAAUGAUCCUUGUGGGUCCCUUCUGACUCAGGAUAUGCUAAUACAAAGAGAAAGCUCCAAGAGAUACUCUCCAGCCACUCCAAACAGAAAACCUUUCAGGGGAGAGCUGCCCACAGCUCUCAAUUUUCCAAUGGCCCUUGCAGGCACAAAUACUCUCCACCUCAGUUUUCCCCACAGCUUGAGGUCCAGCUCUGCCCAUUGGGCCUGCCAGGACCUGUGACCCAUCUGCAUAGGAAGACAUCUCCUGGCAAAGUGACACUUGGAAUAACAUGGACCACUGCUUUCUCCAUUCUUCCGCUUCAUGCGCCCUGAUUUCCGUGGUGGAUGAGUCACUGGCUGGCACCUUGGCUGAAGAUGGACGAGCCACCCCCAUACUGCUGACACAGCCUGAAUACAGACUUUCUGCUCUUACCUAGGUAUGAGAUCAGGAAGAGGAGAUGUGCUUCCUAAGAAAAAGUGACUGAAUUUGUUCUAGGCUUCCUGUGGGAUUCUGGGAGAAAAAUGAAAAGACUUUGCUGCUUUGUGAGGAAGGUGCCCAGGAAGUCUUCAGCUGUGACAGUUUGCAGGGGAACCGUGAGACAUCCCAAUGGGGAGAGUUCCACGUGUCAGGAGGUGUUUGGAGGAGCUGCUACUGGGUGGACGUCAACAUCAUUUUGAUAUGGAGGAGAGCAGGAAUGCUGUCAACGCCACGCAUCAGUCUUUCUGUUGCAGACUGCAGGCGUUAUUUGUUUGGACCCAGUUCGCCAAGGCUCUUUGCAAACUAAGUGGCUCUAGUGAGGUGACCCUUUGGGAGGGUGCCUUGCUCUGCCCCUCUUCCUCUUUGACUGGAUGGCUCCUUGCAUCUCCCAGCCAGCCAAGCCUGCUGUGCAAAGCUGCCAUCUCCAGCACUGUGCACAGAGUGAGCACUGUGUGAACAGCUGGCUCUGAGCGUGCUGCCUCACAGCCUCCAGAGCAAAGGUGGCCCCAGGGUACUUCCCAUGGAUUUUCCACCCACAGGUGCCACCACCCUUCCGGAAGGAAGCAGUCAGCCUUGUUUGGAGCAGCUGUCUGGCAAAUGCAUCCUCUCUAUCACACAGCUGCCUGACCCAGGACAAAGCAACCUGUGGCCUCAAGGAGUGAAACACAGCGUUGAAAACAGAAAGUGCUGCACACAGACAGAGCAAGUGAUGCUCUCCACUGGCUCCUGUGACAACCACCUUUCUGCUUUUCAGUCUUUGUCAGGAACAGGAAUGAUCUUUGUAGUUUCUUUUCUUGCCUGGUGCUGCCUUUGCAUCUGCUGCAGAGCAGAAAUUCAAGGAGAUGGAUGCAGACCUUGGUCUGCUUUGUGGAAACACUUCUAAUGAUUUAAGGUUAGGUAAAAGUUUUCAAUUAACAAAUCCUACCUGCUGACCCCACAGCACGUGAUCCUCUCAGAUUUUUUGCCAGCAUUUCUCACACUUUUGUCUUGCUUCAAACAGGAAAAAAUGCUCUUGGAAAAGCUUCUAGCAGCUCCAGAAUGGGUCCCUGGAAACUUGGUGAGCUAGUUGCAAUGUAGAGCUCAGAAGUGCUCUUUCCACAUGUGCUACCUCUUGGAAGCCAAGGAGGGAUUCCUAGGGCCAGGAAGAGAGAGUGUAUGCCACCAUGUGGCAGCAGAUUCCCAAGUGUGGAGCUCAGGAGAGCUUCAGGCAAGCCCAGCUCAUUGCUCAAGCUGGAGGACAGCCUGGCCCUCACAGGCAGAACUUCAGCGAGGAGUUAUGACCUUCUGUGCACAGACAGGGAGGUGCUGUCCCAUCUCCAAAUGUACCAGCCACCCCCUCCAUGAAGGUAAGAUUUAUUCUGCAAUUGAGCAGCCCUGGAAUUUACCAUGGAAGACAAUAUUCAUCUGAGAAUUGUAUUCCAACACCAAAGACCCAUUAUUCACAGUGACAGCCAGCAGAGCUGAAAAUAAACAAAGAACAAAGUCAAAUCAAGUAGCUUUGGACAGAAACCACCCUGCCUCAAGGCAGAAGACAACUUCUAAGCAAGAGAGACAACUUCUGAGGAAGAAACUCUUUUGGAAGCACAUUAUCCCACUGAUGCAAAACUUCUUGCCUUUCUCUCAGAAGCAACCAAAAACCAGCCUGCCAGAAAACUUCGGGCGAGAUGGAGGCUUAAUUUGAUCCAGGCUGUUCUUAUCUUCUGCAUUUUCACUGUUAAAAAAAAAAAAAUCAUCUUUCUGGCAAUGAAGAGAGCCCUAAAUAUCUGAAGUUAAUAUAAAAAGCCACUGCAUUGUUUGUAGUCUGAAUUAUGCUGCAAUGAGGACUCUGAGCUGUCACUCAUAUCAACAGGCUCUUAACUCUAAACUCAGCAAUGGCCACUCCAGCCUUAGCUUCCCUCACUAUUGCAUGUUGCCUGAGGAUGUGUUUAUCCCCUAGGCUCUGCACUGCCCUCCUAGACAGCAAAAUGCCUAUUUCUGCCUCCUCAACAGCUCUUCUAGGGUGUUGCACAGUAACUGCUGUCCUGUAUUCUAUAAAUACAGCACUGUCAGCUUACAUUUGAAUAUAGAGAGGAGUAGCAUUAGGGCAAUUACCUGCUUGGGUUACUUGGGUAUUUCAUUCUCUUAAGUGCUACACUGUAAUUUGAAGGUGGUAAUGAAGUAUUGACAAGUCUGAGAUCUUUUUCCCUGGAGAUCCAGGUACUCUAAAAGGCUCUGUUCCCAAAAAAACUUGGAGUAAACUUGUCCUGAGCAUCUGGAUCGGUGCAAGGUCUAAGAGGCUAGACCACACUGGCAGACCUCCAAGGCCAUGUGCUAAUUUGCCCUGGUGGAGACUCCAACCUGUUGUUGCUGUCUGGGAAAACCAGAUCCAUGUGUCCUUGAGAAGAGCACAUAGAAGAUCAGAGUGUGGACUGGGGAAAAAUGGACCAGAUCUACUCCUUCUGCUUCCCUCUGUACUUGUGCAAGGUAGACCAAAGCAUUGACUCAGGAGGCAGGUGAGCCUGUGCAAACCAGAUGCAGCAUGGAGGAAGAGGAGGAGCAGGAGAACGAGGAGGAGGAGGGACAUGGGAUCUUCAGUAUCAGGAUGGAAAUGUGAGACUCCCAACUUUCAAAGGUCAUCCAGUUGGUCUCACACUUCAGCUCACACUGGCUGGGGAAACAGGUCUUCAUAUACAGCAACCAACACUCAAGACAAAUCAAAAAGCAUUUAAAAUUAUUGUCCUGGCUGGUUGCUCCAGGUAAGUAUUGUAGUGAAUCUGGAGGUGCCUUUUUCCUGGAGUGCUGUGCUCCCAUUAUGCUGGCCAUGAGCUGCAUGGGAUCAGGGCUUGGCACCAUGGGUCACCAGACACAGUCACCUUAACCAGCUUAAACCAUAGCUUGACUUAGGCCUCAAACUGUGCCACCCAUCCCAAGGGAAGGUCUCUGAAACAGAGAGUGACCGCCCUGAAAAUUCCUCCUGUGGUCACUUUCGUAAAGGCCUGCUCAGCUCGGAGAGGGAUGGGGAAAGAAGUUAGUGGCAUUCUGUCUUUAAAAAGCAGAAUGUUUCAGCUGUGAUUCAUUUUGUCUGGGGAUUUGGCCUGUUUUGCUAAUUUGUGGGAAGCCAGUUCAGCAGAAUUGGUAACCUGUUGUUUGCCAAUGCCACCUUUGCGAUGGAAGGUUGUCACCUUCCACCUGGGAGAAAUCGGGAAUACUAUUACCGACACAGAUUAGGGCACAGUGUCAUUUCCUUCAUAAUGUCCUUGAAGAUGUGCAGAGAUGGGCCUCUUGUGUCUGUGGGGCUAGUCUGGCUGAUUUUUUUCUUUCUUUCUUUGAAAGAGCAAUAAACACCUUUGGACUGCCCCAUGGAGGCCUGAGUUGUAGCACAUUGUCCUCAAUUUGCCUUCUGCUCCCACUGCCUGUUGUCUUUGCUCCUUUGUAGCAUAUGUGAGGAUGAAUAUGUCUGUCCUAAGAAAUUGUCUGCAGUCAUUUUGCACUCCCUUUGACAUCUCACAGGCCACUUGUGGCCCACAGACCACAGGGUGAGAAUCACUCUAUGGGGCGAUGUCUACUGAGUUGCCUCCCAGAACUCAGGUUCUUUGAAGCACAUAAAAAGAAGUAGUUUCUGUCCUGGAAAAGACAUUGCCUUGGGCAGACAAGCACGGGGGAGGCAAGGACAGGGACACCCCAACCACCCAGCUGGACUGUCCUCCAGCCCAGGAACCUGACUCUGCCAGAGUUACUGUCUGAGCAGCCUGGGUGAGAAUUUUGGGGGUCCCACUUGCAGCUGUGCUGUGUCAUGAGAUGGGGAUGCUAGCAAAGGGCAGGCAGGUAAGGAGGUGCAGUGUGGGUCUGUGGUGGGAGGGAGCAGAGGGGGAGGAGGGAGCUCUCGCCAGCCCCACCACACUCCAGCAAUCAAAGCCCAGCCUCUGUAAUUAAUACUAUUUAGCCCAGGUUAGUAGCAGAGGAAAAUGUCUCUUGUCAGCCUGGCUUUGCCCACUGGCCCUGAUUUAGCAACAUGAAAGCAUUUUUUCUGAUUAACUGUUCACUGAAGGAGAUAAAAGAGAUGACCAUGAAAUGUUUUCUUUAAUGUGAUGAAUGUAAAGGGACUGGUAGAGCUGGAAAGGGUGAGAGGAGAGAA
Long non-coding RNA from Catharus ustulatus (Swainson's thrush), 5694 nucleotides. RefSeq lists it as uncharacterized. The record is from RefSeq and is a predicted model, not a curated record. Lineage: Eukaryota; Metazoa; Chordata; Aves; Passeriformes; Turdidae. The transcript is spliced from 3 exons.